GCGGACGGGUGUUUCACGCGUAAGUAAAAAACCUCGGGUGGGGGACAACCACGGGAAACUGUGGCUAAUACCCCCCGAUGACUGAAGUCCAAAGGCGCAAGUCGCCUGGGGAGGAGCCUGCGUCCGAUUAGCUUGUUGGUGGGGUAAAGGCCUACCAAGGCUCCGAUCGGUAGCUGGUCUGAGAGGAUGAUCAGCCACACUGGGACUGAGACACGGCCCAGACUCCUACGGGAGGCAGCAGUGGG
This 245-nucleotide ribosomal RNA is filed under the name uncultured Acetobacteraceae bacterium. RNAcentral describes it as "partial 16S ribosomal RNA". It matches the Rfam family "Bacterial small subunit ribosomal RNA", at positions 98 to 358 of the family's 1533-position model. The record is from RNAcentral. Lineage: Bacteria; Pseudomonadati; Pseudomonadota; Alphaproteobacteria; Acetobacterales; Acetobacteraceae.